AACAAAGCAAGAAUCAAGAGGAGUAAUUUCGCAUUACAGAGAAAAGUCAAUAUGCUGAGAGACUUAAAGAAUAUUACUAGUAGCUUGAUUAGCUGAUUAAUUGAAUUUUUUAGUAGGUUAAUCCGGACACUUCAGCGCCGUUAUCGCUUAUAAGAGAGGUAUAGGUUCUAUAUCUAAUCGUAGGUGGUACCGCGGAAAAAUUUCGUCCUAGAC
This 213-nucleotide non-coding RNA is filed under the name Lactobacillus johnsonii. RNAcentral describes it as "T-box sequence". It matches the Rfam family "T-box leader". Rfam says of the family: Uncharged tRNA acts as the effector for transcription antitermination of genes in the T-box leader family. T-boxes are found upstream of many aminoacyl-tRNA synthetase genes and some amino acid biosynthetic genes usually in Gram-positive bacteria. Lineage: Bacteria; Bacillati; Bacillota; Bacilli; Lactobacillales; Lactobacillaceae. The record is from RNAcentral.